CUAUUAUUUUGAAUGUUAAUUUUUUACCUGGGUAUUAUUAGUUAUAUUCUUUAAACCCAAAGAAUUUGGCGGUAUCUUAUUCCAUUUAGAGGAACCUGUCCCGUAAUUGACAGUACACGAUUAACUUUACUUAAUUUAUUUAUUUGUAUAUCUCCGUUAUCAGAAAAUCUUUUUAAAGUUAUAAUUUUCUAGAUUUAUGAUUUUAAGUUAUUUCAGGUCAAGGUGCAGUUUAUGGUUAAGUGGAGAUGGGUUACAAUAUAUUUUUUUAUAUUAUGGAUUUAAUUUUGUAAUUUUUUAAUGAAGGUGGAUUUAAUAGUAAUUUAAUUUAUUUAAUUUAAGUGAUAUUGGCUCUUGGGUGUGU
Molecule: ribosomal RNA, 361 nt
Filed under: Acrida ungarica mediterranea
Lineage: Eukaryota; Metazoa; Arthropoda; Insecta; Orthoptera; Acrididae
Description: partial 12S ribosomal RNA
Source: RNAcentral